RNAcentral lists this ribosomal RNA (460 nucleotides) under uncultured bacterium. RNAcentral describes it as "partial 16S ribosomal RNA". It matches the Rfam family "Bacterial small subunit ribosomal RNA", at positions 338 to 795 of the family's 1533-position model. The record is from RNAcentral.
CCUACGGGUGGCAGCAGUGAGGAAUAUUGGUCAAUGGACGAGAGUCUGAACCAGCCAAGUAGCGUGAAGGAUGACUGCCCUAUGGGUUGUAAACUUCUUUUAUAAAGGAAUAAAACGCGGCAUGUGUGCCUUUUUGCAUGUACUUUAUGACUAAGGAUCGGCUAACUCCGUGCCAGCAGCCGCGGUAAUACGGAGGAUCCGAGCGUUAUCCGGAUUUAUUGGGUUUAAAGGGAGCGUAGGCGGGUUGUUAAGUCAGUUGUUAAAGUUUGCGGCUCAACCGUAAAAUUGCAGUUGAUACUGGCAGUCUUGAGUACAGUAGAGGUAGGCGGAAUGCGUGGUGUAGCGGUGAAAUGCUUAGAUAUCACGAAGAACCCCGAUUGCGAAGGCAGCUUACUAAACUGUAACUGACGCUGAUGCUCGAAAGUGUGGGUAUCAAACAGGAUUAGAUACCCUAGUAGUC